GCGGCGGACGGGUGAGUAACACGUGGGUAACCUGCCCAUAAGACUGGGAUAACUCCGGGAAACCGGGGCUAAUACCGGAUAACAUUUUGAACCGCAUGGUUCGAAAUUGAAAGGCGGCUUCGGCUGUCACUUAUGGAUGGACCCGCGUCGCAUUAGCUAGUUGGUGAGGUAACGGCUCACCAAGGCAACGAUGCGUAGCCGACCUGAGAGGGUGAUCGGCCACACUGGGACUGAGACACGGCCCAGACUCCUACGGGAGGCAGCAGUAGGGAAUCUUCCGCAAUGGACGAAAGUCUGACGGAGCAACGCCGCGUGAGUGAUGAAGGCUUUCGGGUCGUAAAACUCUGUUGUUAGGGAAGAACAAGUGCUAGUUGAAUAAGCUGGCACCUUGACGGUACCUAACCAGAAAGCCACGGCUAACUACGUGCCAGCAGCCGCGGUAAUACGUAGGUGGCAAGCGUUAUCCGGAAUUAUUGGGCGUAAAGCGCGCGCAGGUGGUUUCUUAAGUCUGAUGUGAAAGCCCACGGCUCACCGUGGAGGGUCAUUGGAAACUGGGAGACUUGAGUGCAGAGAGGAAGUG
This 580-nucleotide ribosomal RNA is filed under the name Bacillus thuringiensis. RNAcentral's name for it is "bacterial SSU rRNA". It matches the Rfam family "Bacterial small subunit ribosomal RNA", at positions 95 to 661 of the family's 1533-position model. Lineage: Bacteria; Bacillati; Bacillota; Bacilli; Caryophanales; Bacillaceae. The record is from RNAcentral.